UUGACCUCAAAUCGGGUGAGAGCUACCCGC
RNAcentral lists this ribosomal RNA (30 nucleotides) under Russula maculata. Its description in RNAcentral is "partial 28S ribosomal RNA". Lineage: Eukaryota; Fungi; Basidiomycota; Agaricomycetes; Russulales; Russulaceae. The record is from RNAcentral.